This 420-nucleotide ribosomal RNA is filed under the name Triticum aestivum (bread wheat). RNAcentral's name for it is "partial small subunit ribosomal RNA". The record is from RNAcentral. Lineage: Eukaryota; Viridiplantae; Streptophyta; Magnoliopsida; Poales; Poaceae.
AUGGGGGCGGUCCUGAGAGACGACAGAGGAAGGUUUAUUGCUGGAGGGAAUGGGAAGAUAGACUAUUGCGCGGAUGCGUUGAUGGCGGAAGCCUUAGCUCUCAAAUUUGGUCUAACAAUGGCGCAAAGAGUGGGAUGUAAUCGCCUUAUUAUCAAAUCGGAUAAUCUGGAGGUGAUUGAUACUAUGCAUGAUGGAGGGCAGUCGUCGGGUGCGGCGGCAACAAUCUUUGACGAUUGUUUUCAUUAUGCCUAUGAUUUCGUUGCUACUAGUUUUGAGCAUUGUAAUAGAGAAGCAAAUAAAGUUGCUCAUGAGCUUGCUAGAUUAGCUAGAUUUUCUUUGACUUCUGAUUGGUUUGAGGGAUCUUUAAAUGAAAUUGUAAUACUCCUCAGAAACGAUGUACUAUUUAUUUUUAAUGAAUAA